RNAcentral lists this small RNA (964 nucleotides) under Pongo abelii (Sumatran orangutan). RNAcentral describes it as "sense intronic". The record is from RNAcentral. Lineage: Eukaryota; Metazoa; Chordata; Mammalia; Primates; Hominidae.
GGGGGAAUGGGCAGGGAGGAGGGUCUCUAGGCAAAUUCCAGGGCUAGAGGCUGAGACUUAGUGACUGAGGUGCUGGGGGUUGUGGGGCUGUGACAGGCAGAGGGAGGUGUCAGAUACCAGGACAAGGGUGUUGUGAAUGCUACCUCCUGCCCCUACUCUUGGGAUGGCUCCAAGGGCUGAGGUGUGAAUCCCCAGUGUGCUCCAGGAAUGGCGCUGCAUGAGCCACCGUGCCCAGCCGCCUGGCCUUAAAAAUCAUGUAAUUUAAUGAUCGGACACCAGUCAUAGCCAUAGGAUGCAAAGAAGCAAAGGCAAAGUUACAGGCCAGUGUAGGGAAAGAGCUUCUGCUUGCGAGUGGGAAGAACAGAGGAGUUCAGGAAGUGUGAGUCAGGCUCAGCUUAGUCAGGCAGAGACCAGUGGGCAUGGGUUACCUGGGGGUAAUGCAGGCCAGGUGGGCAGGCUGGCAGCCUGGGGCCCGUUUCCUGCCAAAGCACCUCUGACCAUCCUUCUCCUCCCCCAGGUACUACUACAAACGGGAGAUCCUGGAACGGGUGGAUGGCCGGCGACUCGUCUACAAGUUUGGCAAAAACUCAAGCGGCUGGAAGGAGGAAGAGGUUCUCCAGAGUCGGAACUGAGGGUUGGAACUAUACCCGGGACCAAACUCACGGACCACUCGAGGCCUGCAAACCUUCCUGGGAGGACAGGCAGGCCAGAUGUCCCCUCCACUGGGGAAUGCUCCCAGCUGUGCUGUGGAGAAAAGCUGACGUUUUGGUGUAUUGUCAGCCAUCGUCCUGGGACUCGGAGACUAUGGCCUCGCCUCCCCACCCUCCUCUUGGAAUUACAAGCCCUGGGGUUUGAAGCUGACUCUAGCUGCAAGUGUGUCUCCUUUUAUCUGGUGCCUCCUCAAACCCAGUCUCAGACACUAAAUGCAGACAACACCUUCCUCCUGCAGACACCUGGACUGAGC